This 496-nucleotide ribosomal RNA is filed under the name uncultured bacterium. RNAcentral describes it as "partial 16S ribosomal RNA". It matches the Rfam family "Bacterial small subunit ribosomal RNA", at positions 28 to 506 of the family's 1533-position model. The record is from RNAcentral.
GAUGAACGCUGGCGGCGUGCCUAAUACAUGCAAGUCGAGCGAACAGACGAGGAGCUUGCUCCUCUGACGUUAGCGGCGGACGGGUGAGUAACACGUGGAUAACCUACCUAUAAGACUGGGAUAACUUCGGGAAACCGGAGCUAAUACCGGAUAAUAUAUUGAACCGCAUGGUUCAAUAGUGAAAGACGGUUUUGCUGUCACUUAUAGAUGGAUCCGCGCCGCAUUAGCUAGUUGGUAAGGUAACGGCUUACCAAGGCAACGAUGCGUAGCCGACCUGAGAGGGUGAUCGGCCACGCUGAACCUGAGACACGGUCCAGACUCCUACGGGAGGCAGCAGUAGUGAAUCUUCCGCAAUGGGCGAAAGCUUGACGGAGCAACGCCGCGUGAGUGAUGAAGGUCUUCGGAUCGUAAAACUCUGUUAUUAGGGAAGAACAAAUGUGUAAGUAACUAUGCACGUCUUGACGGUACCUAAUCAGAAAGCCACGGCUAACUACGU